This 616-nucleotide ribosomal RNA is filed under the name uncultured Legionella sp. RNAcentral's name for it is "bacterial SSU rRNA". It matches the Rfam family "Bacterial small subunit ribosomal RNA", at positions 242 to 849 of the family's 1533-position model. Lineage: Bacteria; Pseudomonadati; Pseudomonadota; Gammaproteobacteria; Legionellales; Legionellaceae. The record is from RNAcentral.
UAGCUAGUUGGUGGGGUAAGGGCCUACCAAGGCGACGAUCGGUAGNNGGUCUGAGAGGAUGACCAGCCACACUGGAACUGAGACACGGUCCAGACUCCUACGGGAGGCAGCAGUGGGGAAUAUUGGACAAUGGGGGCAACCCUGAUCCAGCAAUGCCGCGUGUGUGAAGAAGGCCUGAGGGUUGUAAAGCACUUUCAGUGGGGAGGAGGGUUGAUAGGUUAAGAGCUAAUUAACUGGACGUUACCCACAGAAGAAGCACCGGCUAACUCCGUGCCAGCAGCCGCGGUAAUACGGAGGGUGCGAGCGUUAAUCGGAAUUACUGGGCGUAAAGGGUGCGUAGGUGGUUGAUUAAGUUAUCUGUGAAAUUCCUGGGCUUAACCUGGGACGGUCAGAUAAUACUGGUUGACUCGAGUAUGGGAGAGGGUAGUGGAAUUUCCGGUGUAGCGGUGAAAUGCGUAGAGAUCGGAAGGAACACCAGUGGCGAAGGCGGCUACCUGGCCUAAUACUGACACUGAGGCACGAAAGCGUGGGGAGCAAACAGGAUUAGAUACCCUGGUAGUCCACGCUGUAAACGAUGUCAACUAGCUGUUGGUUAUAUGAAAAUAAUUAGUGGCGC